RNAcentral lists this ribosomal RNA (253 nucleotides) under uncultured bacterium. Its description in RNAcentral is "partial 16S ribosomal RNA". It matches the Rfam family "Bacterial small subunit ribosomal RNA", at positions 524 to 776 of the family's 1533-position model. The record is from RNAcentral.
UACGGAGGGUGCAAGCGUUAUCCGGAUUCACUGGGUUUAAAGGGUGUGUAGGCGGGCUAUUAAGUCAGCGGUGAAAUCUCCGGGCUCAACCCGGAAACUGCCAUUGAUACUAUUAGUCUUGAAUAUCGUUGAUGUAGGCGGAAUAUAUCAUGUAGCGGUGAAAUGCAUAGAUAUGAUAUAGAACACCGAUUGCGAAGGCAGCUUGCUAAACGAUGAUUGACGCUGAGGCACGAAAGCGUGGGGAUCAAACAGG